GAGAGAGAGAGAGAGAGAGAGAGAGAUGUGUCAUCAUCUCCGACCAUGACUUUUUCGGUUAUGGGCCUUUUGUUCUUCUUCUUUUUGUAAAAUCCAAUUAUUGGCCUUAACCCAACUAAAUAAGGUGCUUUAAAUGCUUUUCUUAAAAGUAUUGGGCCAAAUUAAAAGAAUUAAACAGUAGCGGGUCUUAAAUAAUACAUUUCUUUUAUAAGAAGUUUAAACAUUUAAACUUUAUACUACGAGUGAAAUCCUAAAAUUUACGGAUUUGAGUCGAUAUUAAUACAAGAUUGUAUACGACGGGGUGAAAUCCUAGAAUUAACAAUCAUAAUACUAUUAUACAAUCUUAAACACUAAACACAAUAGACAAUACUAAUAAAACAAAUACAACUUAAAAUUU
RNAcentral lists this small RNA (397 nucleotides) under Arabidopsis thaliana (thale cress). Its description in RNAcentral is "ATSL095060". The record is from RNAcentral. Lineage: Eukaryota; Viridiplantae; Streptophyta; Magnoliopsida; Brassicales; Brassicaceae.